Panicum virgatum (switchgrass) is the source of this 511-nucleotide long non-coding RNA. RefSeq lists it as uncharacterized. The transcript has 3 exons. The record is from RefSeq and is a predicted model, not a curated record. NCBI's taxonomy places the organism in Eukaryota, Viridiplantae, Streptophyta, Magnoliopsida, Poales, Poaceae.
AGUUGGUGGCUCCAACCGGGACAAAAGGCCCCGGCCUAUAUCCCCUUUCUUUCUCCCCUGCUCGAGCCAUUCAGCUCAGUGUUCUUGCUGUUCUUGGCUCGGGUGGGGGGAGUUCUUGCCCAUUUCGUCCACGAUUUGUGAAGACUCUUUGAUUCCCUGUCCAUUCAACAGUUAUAAAGGUUAGGAGCUUGUUCCUCUCAUCAUUUAUUUCUUGUUUAGCUCAGUUUUUAUUGUUUAGAAAUAGAGAAAUAAUGGGAGGUUUCAUUGUGAAAAUUUCUUCAUUUUUAUACCAUUUGAACUCAAAUGUGUGUGGUACUUUUAGCUAUGCAUAUAUAGACAGAUUUACUUAUUUUAGUUUAUCUAGAUGAGUAUAGAGAGUUGAUGUGUGAUUUUCUUGUAUAGAGAGUUGAUGUGUGAUUUUCCAUGUAUAGAGAGUUCAUAUUAUUUUUAUAAAUUAAAACUAGAUUUUUGUUUACAAUGAGAGUAUAUAUAUUACAAUGUGAGUAUGUAU